This 524-nucleotide ribosomal RNA is filed under the name uncultured bacterium. RNAcentral describes it as "partial 16S ribosomal RNA". It matches the Rfam family "Bacterial small subunit ribosomal RNA", at positions 28 to 523 of the family's 1533-position model. The record is from RNAcentral.
GACGAACGCUGGCGGCGUGCUUAACACAUGCAAGUCGAACGAGACGAUUGAAAGCUUGCUUUUGAAAGUCGAGUGGCAAACGGGUGAGUAACGCGUAGACAACCUGCCUUUGAGAUGGGGACAACAGUUCGAAAGGACUGCUAAUACCGAAUGUUGUAUAUUUUCCACAUGGAAGAUAUAUUAAAGAUGGCCUCUAUUUAUAAGCUAUCGCUCAAAGAUGGGUCUGCGUCUGAUUGGCUGGUUGGUGGGGUAACGGCCUACCAAGGCGACGAUCAGUAGGCGGGCUGAGAGGAUGAACGGCCACAUUGGGACUGAGACACGGCCCAGACUCCUACGGGAGGCAGCAGUGGGGUAUCUUCCACAAUGGACGAAAGUCUGAUGGAGCAACGCCGCGUGAGUGAAGAAGGGUUUCGGCCCGUAAAGCUCUGUUGUCGGGGACGAAUGUGCAGUAUUUGAAUAAAGUACUGUAAUGAUGGUACCUGACGAGGAAGCCACGGCUAACUACGUGCCAGCCGCCGCCGUAA